UGAGAAAUGGCUACCACAUACCAAGGAAGGCAGCAGGCGCGUAAAUUACCCAAUCCUGACACGAGGGAGGUAGUGACAAUAAAUAACAAUGUGGUCUUUUUAAGUCUGACAAUUGGAAUGAGAACAAUUUAAAUCCCUUAUCGAGGAUCAAUUGGAGGGCAAGUCUGGUGCCAGCAGCCGCGGUAAUUCCAGCUCCAAUAGCGUAUACUAAAGUUGUUGCAGUUAAAAAGCUCGUAGUUGAAUUUCUGGUCUCGAGACGCGGUCAGCCCCAAGGGGUUUGUACUUGCGGAUUGGGACCAUCCUCGAGAAGAACAUAUCUGUCAUUGAGUUGAUGGGUAUGGGAAUCUCGUCAUUUACUGUGAGCAAAAUAGAGUGUUCAAAGCAGGCUUACGCCGUUGAAUACAUUAGCAUGGAAUAAUAAGAUAGGACCUUGGUCUAUUUUGUUGGUUAGUUCUCCAAGGUAAUGAUUAAUAGGGACAGUUGGG
This 485-nucleotide ribosomal RNA is filed under the name uncultured eukaryote. RNAcentral's name for it is "SSU rRNA". It matches the Rfam family "Eukaryotic small subunit ribosomal RNA", at positions 397 to 886 of the family's 1831-position model. The record is from RNAcentral.